RNAcentral lists this ribosomal RNA (1226 nucleotides) under uncultured fungal contaminant. RNAcentral describes it as "eukaryotic LSU rRNA". It matches the Rfam family "Eukaryotic large subunit ribosomal RNA", at positions 103 to 1357 of the family's 3401-position model. The record is from RNAcentral. Lineage: Eukaryota; Fungi.
AACAGCUCAAAUUUGAAAUCUGGCCCUCGGGUCCGAGUUGUAAUUUGUAGAGGAUGCUUUUGGUGCGGUGCCUUCCGAGUUCCCUGGAACGGGACGCCUUAGAGGGUGAGAGCCCCGUACGGUUGGACGCCUAGCCUCUGUAAAGCUCCUUCGACGAGUCGAGUAGUUUGGGAAUGCUGCUCUAAAUGGGAGGUAUAUUUCUUCUAAAGCUAAAUACUGGCCAGAGACCGAUAGCGCACAAGUAGAGUGAUCGAAAGAUGAAAAGCACUUUGAAAAGAGGGUUAAAUAGCACGUGAAAUUGUUGAAAGGGAAGCGUUUAUCACCAGACUUUUUCUAGGGGGAUCAUCCGGUGUUCUCACCGGUGCACUUCCCCUAGUUGAGGCCAGCAUCGGUUUUCGGAGGGGGAUAAAAGUUUCGGGAAUGUGACUCCCCCGGGAGUGUUAUAGCCCGUUACAUAAUACCCUUCUGGGGACCGAGGUUCGCGCAUCUGCAAGGAUGCUGGCAUAAUGGUGAUCAACGACCCGUCUUGAAACACGGACCAAGGAGUCGAACAUUUAUGCGAGUGUUUGGGUGUCAAACCCUCACGCGUAAUGAAAGUGAACGGAGGUGAGAGCCCUUACGGGUGCAUCAUCGACCGAUCCUGAUGUCUUCGGAUGGAUUUGAGUAAGAGCAUAACUGUUCGGACCCGAAAGAUGGUGAACUAUGCGUGGAUAGGGUGAAGCCAGGAGAAAUCCUGGUGGAGGCUCGCAGCGGCUCUGACGUGCAAAUCGAUCGUCAAAUCUGCGCAUGGGGGCGAAAGACUAAUCGAACCAUCUAGUAGCUGGUUACCGCCGAAGUUUCCCUCAGGGUAGCAGUGUUGUAUUCAGUUUUAUGAGGUAAAGCGAGUGAUUAGGGACUCGGGGGCGCUAUAUUGCCUUCAUCCAUUCUCAAACUUUAAAUAUGUAAGAAGCCCUUGUCGCUUAAUUGGACGUGGGCAUUCGAAUGUAUCAACACUAGUGGGCCAUUUUUGGUAAGCAGAACUGGCGAUGCGGGAUGAACCGAACGCGAGGUUAAGGUGCCAGAGUAGACGCUCAUCAGACACCACAAAAGGUGUUAGUACAUCUUGACAGCAGGACGGUGGCCAUGGAAGUCGGAAUCCGCUAAGGACUGUGUAACAACUCACCUGCCGAAUGUACUAGCCCUGAAAAUGGAUGGCGCUCAAGCGUCUCACCCAUACCUCGCCCUCA